The sequence is a transfer RNA, 78 nucleotides long. It matches the Rfam family "tRNA". From Rfam's summary of the family: Transfer RNA (tRNA) molecules are approximately 80 nucleotides in length.
AGCGUUGUAGCUCAAUGGUAGAGCAACCCACACCUAUUUACGGGAAGGACGUGAGUUCAAUUCUCAUCAACGGUACAA